This 551-nucleotide ribosomal RNA is filed under the name Baseodiscus delineatus. Its description in RNAcentral is "partial large subunit ribosomal RNA". It matches the Rfam family "Bacterial large subunit ribosomal RNA", at positions 1797 to 2608 of the family's 2925-position model. The record is from RNAcentral. Lineage: Eukaryota; Metazoa; Nemertea; Pilidiophora; Heteronemertea; Baseodiscidae.
CGCCUGUUUAUCAAAAACAUCGUCUAUUGGACCUUGGUGUUAUGUGUUAUAAUAGGUGUUUUCUGCCCAGUGAGAGUUUUUCAACGGCCGCGGUACUUUGACCGUGCAAAGGUAGCAUAAUCAUUUGCUUCUUAAUUAGGGGCUUGUAUGAAGGAAAGAAUGAAUGUCCGGCUGUCUCCUCUCGAAAAAAAAAUUUUCUGUUGCUGUGAAGAAGCAGCAAUGCUAAAAAAAGACAAGAAGACCCUAUCGAGCUUUACUCUAGAGAUUAAAAGGGCUGUAAUUUAUUUAUUAUAUUACACAAAGUUUUGUGAGUUACGUUGGGGUGACGAAAAAAGAAAAAAUCUUUUUUAAUGGUAAGAACUGUUUUGUUAAAAAAGGAGCGGCUUUUGGCCAUUGUUGGAAGAAGUUACCGUAGGGAUAACAGCGUAAUUUUUUUAGAGAGUUCAAAUCGAAAAAAAAGAUUGCGACCUCGAUGUUGACUUGUUGUUUCCUUUUGGUGCAGCUGCUAAAAGGGUUGGUCUGUUCGACCAUUAAAAUAACACGUGAUCUGA